This 500-nucleotide ribosomal RNA is filed under the name uncultured bacterium. RNAcentral describes it as "partial 16S ribosomal RNA". It matches the Rfam family "Bacterial small subunit ribosomal RNA", at positions 30 to 523 of the family's 1533-position model. The record is from RNAcentral.
AUUGAACGCUGGCGGAAUGCUUUACACAUGCAAGUCGAACGGCAGCACGGACUUCGGUCUGGUGGCGAGUGGCGAACGGGUGAGUAAUGUAUCGGAACGUGCCCAGUCGGGGGGGAUAACGUAGUGAAAAUUACGCUAAUACCGCAUACGAUCUAUGGAUGAAAGCGGGGGAUCGCAAGACCUCGCGCGAUUGGAGCGGCCGAAAUCAGAUUAGGUAGUUGGUGGGGUAAAGGCCCACCAAGCCAACGAACUGUAGCUGGUCGGAGAGGACGACCAGCCACAAUGGAACUGAGAAACGGUCCAGACGCCUACGGUAGGCAGCAGUGGGGAAUUUUGGACAAUGGGCGAAAGCCUGAUCCAGCCAUUCCGCGUGCAGGAUGAAGGCCCUCGGGUUGUAAACUGCUUUUGUACAGAACGAAAAGGUUUCUACUAAUACUAGGAGCUCAUGACGGUACUGUAAGAAUAAGCACCGGCUAACUACGUGCCAGCCGCCGCCGUAA